This 187-nucleotide non-coding RNA is filed under the name Holophagales bacterium. RNAcentral describes it as "6S RNA". It matches the Rfam family "6S / SsrS RNA". Rfam says of the family: E. coli 6S RNA was the first non coding RNA to be sequenced, but its function was unknown until recently. It consists of 184 nucleotides that fold into an extended hairpin structure with a large single-stranded internal bulge. The record is from RNAcentral. Lineage: Bacteria; Pseudomonadati; Acidobacteriota; Holophagae; Holophagales.
GGCACCCUGCGCGGUGCGUGAUUGAGCAAAUGUCCUUGAACCGAUAUUUGAACCCUGAACGUCCCGAAGCCCGGCCACCCUGUGACGCCCCGGCUCCGGCCGGGGAACUGACGGGUCGCCCCGGGUCGUUCGCCCUGGUUUACCGAGGGUUCAAAGACUCAGGCUCACACGGCCGAGGCGGGGGCCU